Amborella trichopoda is the source of this 2447-nucleotide non-coding RNA. Lineage: Eukaryota; Viridiplantae; Streptophyta; Magnoliopsida; Amborellales; Amborellaceae. The record is from RefSeq and is a predicted model, not a curated record.
AUACGGCCUAGAUAAGGUGUUGCGAGAUGCGGACGCAAAAUCUUUGUUUCGUUUUUUUUUUCAUAUGAGUAAUGAUUCUAUUUGUAGAUGACGAUGUCGAGAUGAGGAAUUAGAGGGUUUUUCAAUAUUAAAACAACCCUUUUCGAUGGAUUUUUAGGUUUAAUUCUACAUUUUAUGGUGUGGCAACCUUAUAUAAACCUUUUCCAUCAAGAUACUUGCACCACAAUUUAUCAAAUAGGUCCCCAGCUCUUGUGCUACCAGUUUCCAUGCGAUUCUCAAAAUCCAAAGUUAGCAGCAAGGAGAAUCUUUAUGAGAAAGUAAUCAAACGCACCCUUUUUGGUGGACUGGAUUUCUGUCAUGACAUGAAUCUUCCUGACAGAGAGAAAGAUUCAGAGUUUGAUUUUUGUUGUAGUGAAAGCAAAAGCAUAGCAGCUGCGUCGAUGUUAGCUCGGAAAUUCCUUCUUGCUUUGCGCUUUAUAACUCGUCGCAACUGGGCAAAAUUUGGCAGGUUCACAACCUUACAGAAGUUCAUUUGGAUUCCAUCAUUAUCCAACAAAAAGAAAAGUUAGAUCAACUUGAUGAUAAGGAAAUAGAGGCAAAAGAGAUCCAAAGAUUGAAGUGCUGGUAAAUUCAGAGCUCACAUAUACUAGUUUUUGUUAUUUCUAACUUGCUGCUUCUCAAAGCUUUGAAUGGUCAUCAUCAUCUUUUUACUAUUUUUUGCCCAAAGGUUUAUGUUGCAGUUAUGAGAGAAGUAUUGAUAUGCUAUUUUGACUGAGAUGGUGCAAGGUCUUAUGCUUGCUCUCAAGUAUUUCUUUGAAAGUUGUAAGGUCUCCGUUCCAAUCUUGAUGUCUCUUUUUUGUGCAUAUGAUGGUGUUGGUUGUGAUAUUUAUACCUUAGUUUCAGAGUAACUACCCUUUGAGAGGUGCUUGUCAAGUCCACAAUUCCUAGUGAACAUGCUAUUUGUUUCCAUAAAACUGAUGAGGACUUCUGCAUUGCAUAUAAACUAUGUGAAACAGUAACUGUAGCUACCAUUUUAUUUGUAGCUUGAGGUUCCUCCUGCCGUUAAUGAAAUGCGAGAUUAUUAUGGUUUUUUUUUUGGUUGGCCAUUGACAUCGUCUCAUACUGGAUCAGUUUUUAUUGGUUGCUACAGUGGUAUUGUUUGUAACUAAAUACAGCAGUAUUUGGUUGUAUGUUGAGAACAUUCAGCAAAACCUGUAGUGUACAAUGGAUUGUUUUAUUUGGCAUCAAAAGAUCAAAUCUGCCUCAUGACAUUUAAUGGCUAUUUGAGAACGAUCAUGUGUGAAAGAAUCCUUAAAUAUCAGAAAUGAGAACGAGGGAUUAUUCAUAUUUAUUUGAGUGGAUAUGCUAGGUUCCGGUUCUUGAUUGUUAAUGGAUAGGACCUGGAUCUGCAAAUGCAUUUAUUUCAUUUCUUUAUAUCUAAGAGGCCACAUAGCAAACAACCAAGAUCUAGUAUGCAAACAACCAAGAUCUAGUAUGCCACAUAGCAAACAACCAAGAUCUAGUAUGCAUGUUGCAGGCAUGGCCCUCCACCCUGUCUUUAAUCCCAUUGAUAUUAGAUAAAAACCCUCGCAUAUUCUUUUUUUGGGUAGAUCAGUGGGGAAGGGGUCCCCUACCACACUAGGAAUGGAACUCAAGGCAUCAUGUUGUGGCAUCCACCGCCCUCAUCACCUAUGCCUUGAGUCCAUUCCUAAACCCUCACCCAUAUUGCUUCCCAACUUUUCGUUACUUAAUGUUGUUUCCUGCAUAACUACAUCCCCAUUAAAUAGAAGAAAAGAAAACCUUUUUGGUAAUUCUCCCAAAUUGAUACUCAAUGAGAAAAUCAUCAACUAAAAGGGGACAACCCUCUCUCAUAUCUCUUUUCCACUUUCCCAUAUAAGGAGUAGGCAAAAACCUACCCCUGAACCUGUUUCUAACCAAUACAGUAUACAAGCGUAUAUAUUGACCAAACUAAAUCAAACAUUAAUCCUCAAGUUUUGAACUUAUCAUUUGAUAUCUAGAAGAUAUGGACAGAGAAGACAGAACUUCUAAUAUGCUAGGGUGGUUUGUUGGAUUGGAUAUGCCCUCCUCAAGCCAUUACCAUCAAAGUUGAGGAGAGAGAAGAUGUUAUGACAUUGCCAUGACUAGAUGCAUACGUAGGUUCUGCCAAGGGGCCUGUCCUCUGGAUGCCAUUGUUUAAGGCGCCAAUCCAAUUUUGCCACAGCGACACAUGAAAUGAGCUGUCGGGGAAACUUCUGGAGAGUGGGGAUAGAUGAAAAACACAAAUAGCAGAGAACUUUGAGAUCUGAGGAACCUCCACCGCUAAGCAAUUUGAGUAGGGAGAGACAUUUGUUGUUUAAGGCUACAUGAAAUAUCGUUUGCCCUUGGUUUAAUGGGAGCAAAGCCGUGUUUCUGCGCUAUAUUAUCUGUUCUGUUAUCUCUUUAUCUUA